RNAcentral lists this transfer RNA (73 nucleotides) under Phaeocystis antarctica. RNAcentral describes it as "tRNA-Gln". It matches the Rfam family "tRNA". Rfam says of the family: Transfer RNA (tRNA) molecules are approximately 80 nucleotides in length. Their secondary structure includes four short double-helical elements and three loops (D, anti-codon, and T loops). Lineage: Eukaryota; Haptophyta; Phaeocystales; Phaeocystaceae. The record is from RNAcentral.
AGAGGUAUAGCUAAAAGGUUAAGGCGACGGUUUUUGAUACUGUUAUUCGUUGGUUCAAGUCCAACUAUCUCUA